CUAGUUUUUGUCUUAAAAGAUUCAAUUAAAUUGCAUUCUGUUUUUAUAAAUAUUGCCAUUGUUUUGUUAAGUCCAUUUAGAAUUCUUUUGUGAACUAAAAUUUAUUUUAUAAUUAUAUAUAUGUGUGUGUAUAUAUAUAUAUUUGGUCUUGAAAUGUAUUUAAAUGAAGAAAGGGGUCUAAUGCUACAUCGAAAAGAAUUUAAAACAAAAUUUAACUUGUGAAUAUUAACAAUGUUACAUAUCUUUCUUAAAUUGUUCUUUUUGAAAUCCUGUAAUUUUAUAAUAUGAAAUGAUAUGUUGAAAUAUUUUCAUUCGCGCGUAGAUAAUGAGAUUUUGUUUUGACUGUGAAUCUGUGACCCAGAAGAGGAAGGUUGCACUUGCUACUGCAUGUUCAUUGCACUGAUGGGGUUUAUUGUUAGAUUAUGCAUAAUCUACAUGAAACGUUUUGAAAAAAAUUGUCUAUGCUGUAUUGUGCAGCGGAAAUGUAUCCGUCUGGAUGUUAAUGAUAACGACGUAUGCGCAUGCGCACAUUUAUUUUGAAUAUUUUAGUCUGGUUUAUCAUACGUUUUAUAUAGGACACUUGCUAAGAAAAAAAAAAAUAGAACCAGACAUAGGCGCGAAUGCGCAUUCGUUGAGUGGGGCGCACAUGUUAAAAUUCAAGAACGCGCAUGCGCACGUAGGCGCGUUUAUAAUAUAACUAGAAUCUAAAAGAAUAGUUUCUUCUGUAAUAGAUACUUUUAUAAUUAAUUUGAAUAAGAAAAGAUUUUAUCAACAGUUCUUUGCAUAUUAGGUAAAAACUUUAUUAAAUAACUUUAUGUUCUGAGCUGGAAUUUAAAUCGUAAAAAAAAUUUUGGAUGCCAAAAAUAUACCUGUCUCGCGUAUGCUUUACACAAAAUGGACGGUCCGCGUUAUGCGCAUUUUUGAAUAGUGAACGCGCUUUGUUUAUUUGCAUCCUUGAUUCUUAGAAUGUAACUUAGAAAUACAUGUAUUUCAUUGUAAGUGCUGUAUUUCAUUGUAAGUGCUGUGUGUGAUUCGUGAUUUUUGUUCAGUAUAUAAUAUAUACGUAUUUCUUGUGCGGGUUGACCACAUUACUAUGCAGAAAGCGCGGAGCAUGCGCGUGUCACACAACACCUAGUUGACUUUCCAGACAACAUGUGCUUUCCUCGUUUAAAAACUCUGAAUUUAAAUAUUUUGAAUUAAAAGGAAUGGAUAUACUUUUCUGGAAGGCUGGCUCAGAAGUAACUGGAUAUCAUGUGAAUACUUUCAAAAAUGGUCGUCUGCAUGCUGAGGUGUAAAUUUUCCUGGCUGUCUUCUUCCCAGAAUGUUUCCAAAGGUAUUGGCGAGACAGACACGUUAUUAUCCAGCGCUAACUGAUGUCCAGACACGAGAAAAUAACCCCCGAGUGAUCGAAAAAGUAUUGAGAACUUGGAACUGGCAGCUUGUGACGGCCAACACUGAAAAAUAAUUACAAAGGCUGUUUGAGAAGGCCUCUUGAGGAGAAGUUGUAUAAAGUACUGGUGGAGAAGUUGUAAAGUACUGGUGGAGAAAUUGUACAAAGUACUGGUGGAGAAUUAGUACCAAGUCCAUCAGUCUGCUGGUCUUAAAAUUCGAGCCUUGGAAAAUGUUGAGGUAUAAAGAUCUGUAACUAGGAGACAAUGUCCAGUCAGUAGCAAUGGUUAUCAUCAGUAGCCAGCAGACCACUUCUAUUUGGGUAUUAGCAGAAUUCAGUUUCCAGCAAAGGGAUGUCCAUUUUUCAAGAUGCAGUAGACAACUAUUUGUACAAACUGGUGGUUUUGGUUACCAAAAGGCUGCUUUAGCUUAACAGCAGACGACUUUUUGAUCACCGAGGAAUGAUGUAUUGGUUACUACUUUAUGACUGAGUUACUAAGUUACCAGCCAGAUCAGUAGACCUAAGUACUAAUUGAUGAGAAGGAGACUUGGUAAACAGGAAACAUUACACAACUGAGUAGAUAGUGCUUAUUUUUCUGUAAACAGUGCUUGGUAAAAAGCAUACGGCGCUCAGUUUCCACAGGCUGUGCUUGGUAAAUACAUACGUUACUCAAUUUGCAGCUGAUUGUGCUUGGUUAAAAUGAUAUGACUUGGUUUCAAUGUGAUUGCAUUUAACAGCACAGAAUGCACGGGUUUCCAGCAGAUUGUACUUGGUUAACAGCAUGUGUCACUCAGUUUCCAGCAGACAGCAUAUAUCACCCUGUAUCAGGCAGUCUAUGACUUGUAAAUUACGUACAAUGCUAGGUUUCCAGCAGUCUGUGUCUGGUAAAAGCAGAGGACAGCUUCAAGCAAACUGUUCCAGGUAAACAGCAUUCAGCAGGUGGUGUGUCCAGCAGUCUUUGUCUAGUAAACAGCAGAUGACAUUUGGUUUCCAGCAGUCUGUACAUGGUAAACUGCACUUGAAAUAUCAUGAUGGCUCAAAGCGCUGUUAUUAGUAGAAUUAGUAAAAUGUCACAUGACACACAGUAACGGCAGACAACACUGUACUACCGGCAGGCAGCAUCUAAUAAGCCAAGGACAUUACAUAGUUAUCAGGAGACAGUGAACUGCAAGCAGCACUUGGUAAACAGCAGGCAGCACUUGGUAACCAGCAGAUGGCACAUGGUAUCCAGCAGAAGGCACUUUGUAACCAGCAGAUGGCAAUUAUUAUCCAGCAGAAGGCACUUUGUAACCAGCAGACGGCACUUGGUAAACGCAGAUGCACUUGUUAACCAGCAGACGGCACUUGGUAAUCAGCAGAUGGC
Mercenaria mercenaria is the source of this 2753-nucleotide long non-coding RNA. RefSeq lists it as uncharacterized. NCBI's taxonomy places the organism in Eukaryota, Metazoa, Mollusca, Bivalvia, Venerida, Veneridae. The transcript has 5 exons. The record is from RefSeq and is a predicted model, not a curated record.